GAUGAACGCUGGCGGCGUGCCUAAUACAUGCAAGUCGAGCGAACAGACGAGGAGCUUGCUCCUCUGACGUUAGCGGCGGACGGGUGAGUAACACGUGGAUAACCUACCUAUAAGACUGGGAUAACUUCGGGAAACCGGAGCUAAUACCGGAUAAUAUAUUGAACCGCAUGGUUCAAUAGUGAAAGACGGUUUUGCUGUCACUUAUAGAUGGAUCCGCGCCGCAUUAGCUAGUUGGUAAGGUAACGGCUUACCAAGGCAACGAUGCGUAGCCGACCUGAGAGGGUGAUUGGCCACACUGGAACUGAGGCACGGUCCAGACUCCUACGGGAGGCAGCAGUAGGGAAUCUUCCGCAAUGGGCGAAAGCCUGACGGAGCAACGCCGCGUGAGUGCUGAAGGUCUUCGGAUCGUAAAACUCUGUUAUUCGGGAAGAACAAAUGUGUAAGUAACUAUGCACGUCUUGACGGUACCUAAUCAGAAAGCCACGGCUAACUACGUG
This 497-nucleotide ribosomal RNA is filed under the name uncultured bacterium. RNAcentral's name for it is "partial 16S ribosomal RNA". It matches the Rfam family "Bacterial small subunit ribosomal RNA", at positions 28 to 507 of the family's 1533-position model. The record is from RNAcentral.